UUAAGCGACUAAGCGUACACGGUGGAUGCCCUGGCAGUCAGAGGCGAUGAAGGACGUGCUAAUCUGCGAAAAGCGUCGGUAAGGUGAUAUGAACCGUUAUAACCGGCGAUGUCCGAAUGGGGAAACCCAGUGCAAUUCGUUGCACUAUCGUUAACUGAAUACAUAGGUUAACGAGGCGAACCGGGGGAACUGAAACAUCUAAGUACCCCGAGGAAAAGAAAUCAACCGAGAUUCCCCCAGUAGCGGCGAGCGAACGGGGAGCAGCCCAGAGUCUGAAUCAGCUUGUGUGUUAGUGGAACGGUCUGGAAAGUCCGACGGUACAGGGUGAUAGUCCCGUACACCAAAAUGCACAGGCUGUGAACUCGAAGAGUAGGGCGGGACACGUGGUAUCCUGUCUGAAUAUGGGGGGACCAUCCUCCAAGGCUAAAUACUCCUGACUGACCGAUAGUGAACCAGUACCGUGAGGGAAAGGCGAAAAGAACCCCGGCGAGGGGAGUGAAAAAGAACCUGAAACCGUGUACGUACAAGCAGUGGGAGCACCUUCGGGUGUGACUGCGUACCUUUUGUAUAAUGGGUCAGCGACUUAUAUUCUGUAGCAAGGUUAACCGUAUAGGGGAGCCGCAGGGAAACCGAGUCUUAACUGGGCGUUAAGUUGCAGGGUAUAGACCCGAAACCCGGUGAUCUAGCCAUGGGCAGGUUGAAGGUUGGGUAACACUAACUGGAGGACCGAACCGACUAAUGUUGAAAAAUUAGCGGAUGACUUGUGGCUGGGGGUGAAAGGCCAAUCAAACCGGGAGAUAGCUGGUUCUCCCCGAAAGCUAUUUAGGUAGCGCCUCGUGAAUUCAUCUUCGGGGUAGAGCACUGUUUCGGCUAGGGGUCAUCCCGACUUACCAACCCGAUGCAAACUACGAAUACCGAAGAAUGUUAUCACGGGAGACACACGGCGGGUGCUAACGUCCGUCGUGAAGAGGGAAACAACCCAGACCGCCAGCUAAGGUCCCAAAGUCAUGGUUAAGUGGGAAACGAUGUGGGAAGGCACAGACAGCCAGGAUGUUGGCUUAGAAGCAGCCAUCAUUUAAAGAAAGCGUAAUAGCUCACUGGUCGAGUCGGCCUGCGCGGAAGAUGUAACGGGGCUAAACCAUGCACCGAAGCUGCGGCAGCGACACUAUGUGUUGUUGGGUAGGGGAGCGUUCUGUAAGCCUGCGAAGGUGACCUGUGAGGGUUGCUGGAGGUAUCAGAAGUGCGAAUGCUGACAUAAGUAACGAUAAAGCGGGUGAAAAGCCCGCUCGCCGGAAGACCAAGGGUUCCUGUCCAACGUUAAUCGGGGCAGGGUGAGUCGACCCCUAAGGCGAGGCCGAAAGGCGUAGUCGAUGGGAAACAGGUUAAUAUUCCUGUACUUGGUGUUACUGCGAAGGGGGGACGGAGAAGGCUAUGUUAGCCGGGCGACGGUUGUCCCGGUUUAAGCAUGUAGGCUGGUUAUCCAGGCAAAUCCGGAUAAUCAAGGCUGAGGUGUGAUGACGAGGCACUACGGUGCUGAAGUAACAAAUGCCCUGCUUCCAGGAAAAGCCUCUAAGCAUCAGGUAACAUUAAAUCGUACCCCAAACCGACACAGGUGGUCAGGUAGAGAAUACCAAGGCGCUUGAGAGAACUCGGGUGAAGGAACUAGGCAAAAUGGUGCCGUAACUUCGGGAGAAGGCACGCUGGUGUGUAGGUGAAGUCCCUGCGGAUGGAGCUGAGACCAGUCGAAGAUACCAGCUGGCUGCAACUGUUUAUUAAAAACACAGCACUGUGCAAACACGAAAGUGGACGUAUACGGUGUGACGCCUGCCCGGUGCCGGAAGGUUAAUUGAUGGGGUUAUCCGUAAGGAGAAGCUCUUGAUCGAAGCCCCGGUAAACGGCGGCCGUAACUAUAACGGUCCUAAGGUAGCGAAAUUCCUUGUCGGGUAAGUUCCGACCUGCACGAAUGGCGUAAUGAUGGCCAGGCUGUCUCCACCCGAGACUCAGUGAAAUUGAACUCGCUGUGAAGAUGCAGUGUACCCGCGGCAAGACGGAAAGACCCCGUGAACCUUUACUAUAGCUUGACACUGAACAUUGAGCCUUGAUGUGUAGGAUAGGUGGGAGGCUUUGAAGCGUGGACGCCAGUCUGCGUGGAGCCAACCUUGAAAUACCACCCUUUAAUGUUUGAUGUUCUAACGUUGGCCCCUGACCGGGGUUGCGGACAGUGUCUGGUGGGUAGUUUGACUGGGGCGGUCUCCUCCCAAAGCGUAACGGAGGAGCACGAAGGUUAGCUAAUCCUGGUCGGACAUCAGGAGGUUAGUGCAAUGGCAUAAGCUAGCUUGACUGCGAGCGUGACGGCGCGAGCAGGUGCGAAAGCAGGUCAUAGUGAUCCGGUGGUUCUGAAUGGAAGGGCCAUCGCUCAACGGAUAAAAGGUACUCCGGGGAUAACAGGCUGAUACCGCCCAAGAGUUCAUAUCGACGGCGGUGUUUGGCACCUCGAUGUCGGCUCAUCACAUCCUGGGGCUGAAGUAGGUCCCAAGGGUAUGGCUGUUCGCCAUUUAAAGUGGUACGCGAGCUGGGUUUAGAACGUCGUGAGACAGUUCGGUCCCUAUCUGCCGUGGGCGCUGGAGAAUUGAGGGGGGCUGCUCCUAGUACGAGAGGACCGGAGUGGACGCAUCACUGGUGUUCGGGUUGUCAUGCCAAUGGCACUGCCCGGUAGCUAAAUGCGGAAGAGAUAAGUGCUGAAAGCAUCUAAGCACGAAACUUGCCCCGAGAUGAGUUCUCCCUGAGACUAUAAGUCUCCUGAAGGAACGUUAAAGACGAUGACGUUGAUAGGCCGGGUGUGUAAGCGCAGCGAUGCGUUGAGCUAACCGGUACUAAUGAACCGUGAGGCUUAACCUU
This 2898-nucleotide ribosomal RNA is filed under the name Klebsiella pneumoniae. RNAcentral describes it as "bacterial LSU rRNA". It matches the Rfam family "Bacterial large subunit ribosomal RNA". The record is from RNAcentral. Lineage: Bacteria; Pseudomonadati; Pseudomonadota; Gammaproteobacteria; Enterobacterales; Enterobacteriaceae.